Non-coding RNA from Phoenix dactylifera (date palm), 1760 nucleotides. The record is from RefSeq and is a predicted model, not a curated record. Lineage: Eukaryota; Viridiplantae; Streptophyta; Magnoliopsida; Arecales; Arecaceae.
AUAAACCACGCCUCACCCUAAAACGCCAAAGUUUGCUCGCUCCCGUUCCUUCGCUGUCUCCGACGCUGGGAAAAGAAACCUCGGUUCGCCGUCGAAGUGUCCAUAUUUAUCUCGCGGUUAACCCGCGGCUGAGCCAUACACUCAUCCAUGGGAAAUCUUCUCCAGGAGAAUAUGUUCGCAGGCCACGCCAUUGCGGCGGCCGGCUCCGUCGCCGUCGCCUCCUCCUUCACUCAUCCCCUCGACACCCUCAAGACGCUCCUCCAGGUUGGUGCGGGGUCUGCGCAAAAAUUGAGUAUCGCUCAGGUGGUAGAAAGCGUUCGAUCGGCAUCAGGAGUUUCAGGUAUAUAUAGUGGGUUUGGAUGGUCAACACUUGGUAAGAUUUCAGGCAUAGGAGCACGCUUUGGAAUCUAUGAAAUAGUGACAGCUUUUUAUAAAGAUGGAAGGGAAGACAACUACGUGUAUGUUUCUGAGGCCCUUUUGGCUGGCAUAGCUGCUGGUGCCAUAGAAUCUGUUAUGUGUACUCCAUUUGAACUUCUUAAGCUUCGUAGACAAGUUUCAGCAACACGCAUUAAAACUUCGAGCUCUCAUAAGGCUAUGCAAGAAUCAACUCCACUAAUUUCAAAACUGUUACCUGGUUAUACUCCUGGUGUCAAGGCAUGGAACAAUACUGUGGGCCUUUUGUCCACUCUUUCACCCAAACAUCCAGACAUGGUUGGUGUGCUGAAACAGUACCCUUGGAUGCUGACUGGUUCCGGGAGGCCACCACUUGCAUCUGAUGUUAAAGGUCCUUUCAAUAUCAUAUCCUUGGAAGGAUGGAGUGCUUUAUGGAGAGGACUUCGACCAGGAAUUGCUCGGGACUGUGUAUUUGGCGGUGUUUUCUUUUCCACCUGGCAAUUCUUUCAUAUAGCUAUGCUUAACUGGAAGGCUCUUGAUAUAAACCCUCCUCCCAGGUCAAUUGAUGAAGUAGGUCCUGUAUCCCCAUUGGCUUCUAGUCUUGCUGCUGGCUUUUCUGGAAUGGCUGCUGCUGCUUCUUCUCACUCAUUUGACACUGCCAAAAGUCGGUCACAAUUUAUUGUUACACCGAAGUACAUGGCCAUGGAGAGGAAGCUUCUUAGAUGGAAAGCACCUGGAAUUUGGCUAGAAAGAGUGACAGGGAUGUCUCCUGCUGAUAGGAAUAUCAUGUUCCGUGGUCUUUGGUUGCGGAUGGUGCGUAGUGGAAUUGCAUCUUCUGCACUUGUUGGAAGUUACUUAUUGGCAGUUGAGUACCUCUUUUAACUGCCAUUUGACUGAGGUUGGAAGCAUCAGAAAACAGGCAGGGCCCCCUAAACAAUCUAAACAUGAGGUCAUAUUGCCUCAUAUUGUUCUAUCAGUCAAGACCGAUUGGGUCGGUAUACAAGAUAUCGCGUAGCCUAUCGACAUGCUAUGUGAAUGUUCAGUGAGAUCAAAAUUACCAAGAGUUGCAGUUUGAGAAAAUUACGAUUCAUUGCUACUGGAUGUUUGGAUAACAACCAAUUAGUUAUAUUCAGAAGCAAAUCUGUUAGGAGUCCAUAUGUUCAUGGUGUACUUUUAUCUAAUUAUUCUGAUUUUGAUGAUGUCAAGUGAAGUUCGGCCAGUUGCCAUUGUCUAUGAGAAGAAGAUUUAUGAGCUUAUUCUAUGAAAUCUUAUCAACAUUGAAUAUCCAGAAAUUUUGGACAUUGUAGUAGAACUGUUAUGAUUUGAUUGCAAACAAGGAGAGCCGGGGGCAGUUGCGCCCCCUUGAA